This 71-nucleotide transfer RNA is filed under the name Staphylinidae sp. BMNH 1274241. Its description in RNAcentral is "tRNA-Lys". Lineage: Eukaryota; Metazoa; Arthropoda; Insecta; Coleoptera; Staphylinidae. The record is from RNAcentral.
CAUUAGAUGGCUGAAAGUAAGUAUUGGUCUCUUAAACCAUACUAUAGUAAAUUAACGCCUACUUCUAGUGG